GUCCACGCCGUAAACGAUGAGUGCUAGACGUUGGGAGGCCUAGCCUUCCGGUGUCGCAGCUAACGCAUUAAGCACUCCGCCUGGGGAGUACGGCCGCAAGGUUAAAACUCAAAGGAAUUGACGGGGGCCCCGCACAAGCGGUGGAGCAUGUGGUUUAAUUCGAAGCAACGCGCAGAACCUUACCAGCCCUUGACAUGGGGAGUGUGACCCGGGGAGACCCGGGUCUUCAGUUCGGCUGGCUCCCACACAGGUGCUGCAUGGCUGUCGU
This 268-nucleotide ribosomal RNA is filed under the name uncultured bacterium. RNAcentral's name for it is "partial 16S ribosomal RNA". It matches the Rfam family "Bacterial small subunit ribosomal RNA", at positions 793 to 1055 of the family's 1533-position model. The record is from RNAcentral.